GAUGAACGCUGGCGGCGUGCUUAACACAUGCAAGUCGAACGGAAAGGCCCAAGCUUGCUUGGGUCCUCGAGUGGCGAACGGGUGAGUAACACGUGGGUGAUCUGCCCUGCACUUCGGGAUAAGCCUGGGAAACUGGGUCUAAUACCGGAUAGGACCACGUCUUGGAUGUUGUGGUGGAAAGUUUUUUCGGUGUGGGAUGAGCUCGCGGCCUAUCAGCUUGUUGGUGGGGUAAUGGCCUACCAAGGCGUCGACGGGUAGCCGGCCUGAGAGGGUGUACGGCCACAUUGGGACUGAGAUACGGCCCAGACUCCUACGGGAGGCAGCAGUGGGGAAUAUUGCACAAUGGGCGCAAGCCUGAUGCAGCGACGCCGCGUGGGGGAUGACGGCCUUCGGGUUGUAAACUCCUUUCGCUAGGGACGAAGCGUUUUUGUGACGGUACCUGGAGAAGAAGCACCGGCUAACUACGUG
Molecule: ribosomal RNA, 468 nt
Filed under: uncultured bacterium
Lineage: Bacteria
Description: partial 16S ribosomal RNA
Rfam family: Bacterial small subunit ribosomal RNA
Source: RNAcentral